UACGUAGGGUGCGAGCGUUGUCCGGAAUUAUUGGGCGUAAAGGGCUCGUAGGCGGUUUGUCGCGUCGGGAGUGAAAACCUCGGGCUUAACUCGGGGCUUGCUUUCGAUACGGGCAGACUGGAGGUAUGCAGGGGAGAACGGAAUUCCUGGUGUAGCGGUGAAAUGCGCAGAUAUCAGGAGGAACACCGGUGGCGAAGGCUGUUCUCUGGGCAUGACCUUACUCUGAGGAGCGAAAGUGUGGGGAGCGAACAGG
RNAcentral lists this ribosomal RNA (253 nucleotides) under uncultured bacterium. RNAcentral's name for it is "partial 16S ribosomal RNA". It matches the Rfam family "Bacterial small subunit ribosomal RNA", at positions 524 to 776 of the family's 1533-position model. The record is from RNAcentral.